RNAcentral lists this ribosomal RNA (467 nucleotides) under uncultured bacterium. Its description in RNAcentral is "bacterial SSU rRNA". It matches the Rfam family "Bacterial small subunit ribosomal RNA", at positions 329 to 794 of the family's 1533-position model. The record is from RNAcentral.
GGCCAGACUCCUACGGGAGGCAGCAGUGAGGAAUAUUGGUCAAUGGGCGGGAGCCUGAACCAGCCAUGCCGCGUGAAGGCGAGUGCCCUACGGGCGUUAAACUUCUUUUGUGCGGGAGCAAUAAGGGCCACGUGUGGCCCGAUGAGAGUACCGCACGAAUAAGCAUCGGCUAACUCCGUGCCAGCAGCCGCGGUAAUACGGGGGAUGCGAGCGUUAUCCGGAUUUAUUGGGUGUAAAGGGAGCGUAGACGGUUAUGUAAGUCUGGAGUGAAAGCCCGGGGCCCAACCCCGGGACUGCUUUGGAAACUGUGUAACUGGAGUACAGGAGGGGCAGGCGGAAUUCCUGGUGUAGCGGUGAAAUGCGUAGAUAUCAGGAGGAACACCGGCGGCGAAGGCGGCCUGCUGGACUGAAACUGACGUUGAGGCUCGAAAGCGUGGGGAGCAAACAGGAUUAGAUACCCCAGUAUA